This 467-nucleotide ribosomal RNA is filed under the name uncultured bacterium. Its description in RNAcentral is "partial 16S ribosomal RNA". It matches the Rfam family "Bacterial small subunit ribosomal RNA", at positions 29 to 507 of the family's 1533-position model. The record is from RNAcentral.
ACGAACGCUGGCGGCGUGCUUAACCCAUGCAAGUCGAACGGAAAGGCCCUGCUUUUGUGGGGUGCUCGAGUGGCGAACGGGUGAGUAACACGUGAGUAACCUGCCCUUGACUUUGGGAUAACUUCAGGAAACUGGGGCUAAUACCGGAUAGGAGCUCCUGCUGCAUGGUGGGGGUUGGAAAGUUUCGGCGGUUGGGGAUGGACUCGCGGCUUAUCAGCUUGUUGGUGGGGUAGUGGCUUACCAAGGCUUUGACGGGUAGCCGGCCUGAGAGGGUGACCGGCCACAUUGGGACUGAGAUACGGCCCAGACUCCUACGGGAGGCAGCAGUGGGGAAUAUUGCACAAUGGGCGGAAGCCUGAUGCAGCAACGCCGCGUGCGGGGUGACGGCCUUCGGGUUGUAAACCGCUUUCGCCUGUGACGAAGCGUGAGUGACGGUAAUGGGUAAAGAAGCACCGGCUAACUACGUG